CUUGCUGGGUGGAUUAGUGGCGAACGGGUGAGUAACACGUGAGUAACCUGCCCUUGACUCUGGGAUAAGCGUUGGAAACGACGUCUAAUACCGGAUACGAGCUUCCACCGCAUGGUGAGUUGCUGGAAAGAAUUUUGGUCAAGGAUGGACUCGCGGCCUAUCAGCUUGUUGGUGAGGUAAUGGCUCACCAAGGCGACGACGGGUAGCCGGCCUGAGAGGGUGACCGGCCACACUGGGACUGAGACACGGCCCAGACUCCUACGGGAGGCAGCAGUGGGGAAUAUUGCACAAUGGGCGAAAGCCUGAUGCAGCAACGCCGCGUGAGGGACGACGGCCUUCGGGUUGUAAACCUCUUUUAGCAGGGAAGAAGCGAAAGUGACGGUACCUGCAGAAAAAGCACCGGCUAACUACGUGCCAGCAGCCGCGGUAAUACGUAGGGUGCAAGCGUUGUCCGGAAUUAUUGGGCGUAAAGAGCUCGUAGGCGGUUUGUCGCGUCUGCUGUGAAAUCCCGAGGCUCAACCUCGGGUCUGCAGUGGGUACGGGCAGACUAGAGUGCGGUAGGGGAGAUUGGAAUUCCUGGUGUAGCGGUGGAAUGCGCAGAUAUCAGGAGGAACACCGAUGGCGAAGGCAGAUCUCUGGGCCGCUACUGACGCUGAGGAGCGAAAGGGUGGGGAGCAAAC
Molecule: ribosomal RNA, 680 nt
Filed under: Plantibacter flavus
Lineage: Bacteria; Bacillati; Actinomycetota; Actinomycetes; Micrococcales; Microbacteriaceae
Description: bacterial SSU rRNA
Rfam family: Bacterial small subunit ribosomal RNA
Source: RNAcentral